AAUGCUACCUUACAGGUGUCACAGGUGUGGCUACUUUACUAUGUCUGUGUCAUUGGGUGGCAGAAAGAAAGUGGCUUUGUCUACGCUCAGUGUUCAAAACCCCGUGAGCACUCAGAAUGGUUAAUGGCCCGACACAU
Small nucleolar RNA from Ornithorhynchus anatinus (platypus), 137 nucleotides. RefSeq annotates it as small nucleolar RNA SNORA43. The record is from RefSeq and is a predicted model, not a curated record. The transcript has a single exon. Lineage: Eukaryota; Metazoa; Chordata; Mammalia; Monotremata; Ornithorhynchidae.